CGACCGGCGCACGGGUGAGUAACACGUAUCCAACCUGCCCUUUACUCGGGGAUAGCCUUUCGAAAGAAAGAUUAAUACCCGAUAGCAUAAUGAUUCCGCAUGGUUUCAUUAUUAAAGGAUUCCGGUAAAGGAUGGGGAUGCGUUCCAUUAGGUUGUUGGUGAGGUAACGGCUCACCAAGCCUUCGAUGGAUAGGGGUUCUGAGAGGAAGGUCCCCCACAUUGGAACUGAGACACGGUCCAAACUCCUACGGGAGGCAGCAUG
Molecule: ribosomal RNA, 262 nt
Filed under: uncultured bacterium
Lineage: Bacteria
Description: partial 16S ribosomal RNA
Rfam family: Bacterial small subunit ribosomal RNA
Source: RNAcentral